This is a long non-coding RNA of Cyprinodon tularosa, 1676 nucleotides long. RefSeq lists it as uncharacterized. The transcript is spliced from 3 exons. NCBI's taxonomy places the organism in Eukaryota, Metazoa, Chordata, Actinopteri, Cyprinodontiformes, Cyprinodontidae. The record is from RefSeq and is a predicted model, not a curated record.
UUCAAGUAUAUUCAUAUUUCCUAUAGUUUACUGAAAAUGUACUUAGACAAAUUGUACUUUUUGUAAAUAUAUAAAAAGUAUACUAACAUUACGCUUUCAUGCUAAUACUUUUAACACACUUUAACAUAAUUACACUAUGUUACACUUUAUAGAAAUAUAUUAUUAAAAAAGUAUACUUUAAGUGAAAGUUAUGUGUAAUUUCUAAAGUGUACUUAUUUUAAAUUUGUUUUUACAUAUAUUUUUGCUAUAUUUUAAAUUGUAUGCUCAAAGUUGUCAUUGUAACGUACAUUGAAAGCAUAUUUUAAAAGUACACAUUUUAAUAUCGACACUGUAAUAUUAAGUUUGAGUGCAUUUUAAGUUACAUUUGAAUCUAAUUAUGAAGUGAAGUUAUAUACGCUUGUACUUCAGGUAAUUCUUUUGGAAAGUGUUCAAUAGUAUAACUACAAAAAUGCACUUAAACCCUAUUAUGCAAUUUUGUGCUGUGUGUAAAGUACACAGAUAGCAAUUAUUGCAGUUGUUAUGUAAUGUUUAAUAAGUUUUGAAAAAGAAAUAUGAUACAAUACAUCUUACACACAAAACCACAUUGAACAAAACACUAAAUGUUCACUUCAAAAGUACAGGUGCACAAAAAUGUGUGUUCUGCUGAAAAGCAAGUGGUUUAAAGCUGGUGCAGUGCUACAUUAUGAUCUAACAAAUAGCAUAACCCACAUUGCAACAGAAAAGUUAAUACUGGCCAAAUGCAAAAGAAAUAAACUUAACACAUUACAAUUGUCUCAAGUGUUCAAAAAAGAACAUUUCAUUAGUAUUGUUUAAUGGAUCAAAGCAGGGCUACUGCAAACAAGACCAAUUGGUGAGUGCACAUAUUUAAAAGUCGCUGACAGCACUUCAUGCAUAUAGGAGUGAUAUGUGGAGGUUGUUUGGCCUUGAUGUCUGUAAAGUAGUAGCUCCCCAAGAAUUUUAGUCUUGGGGAGUUUUUGGUUCAGUACUGAUAUCAGAAUUCCCAUAGACUUUGAAUGCACCACACCUGCACAGCAGUUAGUCACGGCUCCUCCCUGCUCAGAGCUAGCGUGCUUUUCUUUUAAGGCCUUGGUCUGCAUGGAGAGAGGUAACUUUCAAAACAUUCCCAUUUGGUUUUGAAAUCUUAAGAUAUCUGUAUAAAACGCGAUUUUGAUUAUUAUAUUUGUAUUGUAGAAACAGGAGAUGUAAUCGGUUGAGCAGGAAGAUUUGCUGUAUUAUUGUGUUGAAGAAUAUCCUGGCUGUUUUUUUUUUUUUACAUAGUUGCAGAAUCUGCUGUUACAGCUGAGCGGUUCAUUGUAUGGACUGGACUAGACUCCACCAGAGAUGUUGAUGCAGAAUGUUCCCAAUUUGAAUGCCAUCCGGUUCCCUGGAGGGUGACGCUGUUCUUCUGGAGUUUCCGUAGACAAGUGUCUCUGAUGUGCGCACGGCCAUCAGACGAAAAUGUAACAAUGAGCAGUUCAGCCAAAAAAAGGAAAAUAAUGUGUGGUGGGCGUGUUUUUGUAUGGUGCGAGGGUUUAGGGGUGCAAUAAUAAGGAAUGUUGUUUUUCAUUGUUCAGUAUUCCUCUGCGUUCUUUAAAGUUUAUUUGUAAUGUUUAGGUCUGCUGCCUGAAAUUGACAUAUUUCUACAAAGUGUACUAAAGUACCAAUAUUUGAAAAUG